CACUGCAUCCCAAGUGAUCACC
Molecule: microRNA, 22 nt
Filed under: Ornithorhynchus anatinus (platypus)
Lineage: Eukaryota; Metazoa; Chordata; Mammalia; Monotremata; Ornithorhynchidae
Description: oan-miR-1421o-3p
Source: miRBase by way of RNAcentral